AGAAGAACAUCUUCUUCUGGCGGUCCCGAUUUCACUUCGUGAUGUGCCAGCGGCUGAAUUAUUCUGGCGUCAUUAACCUAAAUUUAUGAGGUUAGAUGAAAUCAGAGGAGCACAAAGUGAAGGCAAAUACACGAGAUGAAUUGCUUCGCCGCAUCAUGGACGCUGCAGAAUUGGUUAGCAACCAACCACAGACAAUUGAACAGGCAACACAUGUUGUCGCUAGAGCGCAAAAGUGCAUCGACGUUCAUGGUGGGAUAUUCGAACCUGUUGUGUGAACUGUACAACAUCUGUACGGUGAGCCAAAAUGGACCGUGAAGUAGAUGUCAGGUUGC
Schistocerca serialis cubense is the source of this 332-nucleotide long non-coding RNA. RefSeq lists it as uncharacterized. NCBI's taxonomy places the organism in Eukaryota, Metazoa, Arthropoda, Insecta, Orthoptera, Acrididae. The transcript is spliced from 3 exons. The record is from RefSeq and is a predicted model, not a curated record.